Molecule: ribosomal RNA, 305 nt
Filed under: uncultured bacterium
Lineage: Bacteria
Description: bacterial SSU rRNA
Rfam family: Bacterial small subunit ribosomal RNA
Source: RNAcentral
AGGACCCUACGGGGGGCAGCAGUGGGGAAUAUUGCACAAUGGGGGAAACCCUGAUGCAGCGACGCCGCGUGAGUGAAGAAGUAUUUCGGUAUGUAAAGCUCUAUCAGCAGGGAAGAUAAUGACGGUACCUGACUAAGAAGCCCCAGCUAACUACGCGCCAGCAGCCGCGGUAAUACGUAGGGGGCAAGCGUUAUCCGGAUUUACUGGGUGUAAAGGGAGCGUAGACGGCUGAGCAAGUCUGAAGUGAAAGGCGGGGGCCCAACCCCCGGACUGCUUUGGAAACUGUAUAGCUAGAGUGCAGGAGG